Kogia breviceps (pygmy sperm whale) is the source of this 2692-nucleotide non-coding RNA. NCBI's taxonomy places the organism in Eukaryota, Metazoa, Chordata, Mammalia, Artiodactyla, Physeteridae. The record is from RefSeq and is a predicted model, not a curated record.
UUCAUGAUUUAAUUUGUAAUUGAUAUAUAAUUAUAAAACAUUACUUAAGUUUCAGGUGUAUGACAUGGUUUGAUAUUUGUAUACAUCGUGAAAUGAUCACCACAAUGUCUAGCUAACAUCUAUCACCACACGUAGUUACAAUUUUUUUUCUCGUGAUGAGAACUUUUAAGAUCUACUCUCUUGGAACUUCCCUGGCGGCGGUCCAGUGGCUAAGACUCUGCACUCACCGCAGCUGCAGAUCCCACAGGUAGCAACGAAGAUGCCGCGGUGCAGCCAAAUAAAUAAAAAAAAUAAAUAUUAAAGAUUUACUCUCUUAGCAAUUUCUGAAUUAUGAUACAGUAUUAUUAACUUUAGUCACCAUGCAGGACACCCAUGACUUAUUUAUCUUAACUGGGAAUUUGUAGAUAUUUAUUUAUUUAUUUGCUGUGUAAAUACACAGGCAGACACUUGCAAAACAGGGCUUGUCAAAUUGAAAUGUGCAUAGGAGUUACCUGGGGAUCUUGUUAAAGUGGAGAUCCUGAACAGCAGGUCUGAGGAAGGACCUGACAACCCGCAUCUCUAACCAGCUCCCCGGUGUUGCCCAGCAGCUGCUCCACUGGCGCUGGCGGGAGAAGGAUGCUUCCUGUUCCCUGGGCCCACACACCACUCUGCCUUCCCAGCAGGACCUCGGCCCGGGCCAUCCCCUCACCAGGCCGGAGCAAGGGGCAGCCCUGUCGGGACGGCCCAGAACAAACACUGCCCAGGAAAGCGCCCGCCCUGCUGCCAAGCCUCAUUCCCGGCACCCAUGUGGCUGGGUGCCCGCUGCCGCUGCCGAGACAGCAGUUCCCACAGGAGGAGCCCGCCCUGGGGCAGGAGCUCAAGCCUUGACAGCAGAGGUGGACGAUGCUCAGCCAACCCCUGGCCAGGUCUGCUCCCCUUUGGGCUCAAGGCCCUGGCUUUGACAUGAUUUUAGUGGUGAGCCUGUGUCAGGCUCGGGUGGAAAUGUGAGUGUGUUUUCUGUGACCCGAUCAUAGCCCAACCCAGAAUAAGGGUGGGGUUCUGUUUGGGCCUGGGUGGAGAUCUUCAUCACUGGGCUCAAGUCCAGUUUAUGACCAAGGUCAGGGCUCAUCCUGGGAGCAAGGAGCAGGGAGCAAGGAGAAGCAGCCCUUGGUCCCUCCCAGGGCAGACCCAGCCCAGGAGGGUGAGUCAGGCAGUCCGUCUGGGAGUCCACAGGCCUUCCUUUAGUCUCUUGGACUGGAGCACAGGCUCUGGUGAAGGUGAUGCCCAGGCUCUCUGGUCUCCUCAGGUGUGUCUUAAGGGGAGGUGACCUCUCACCUCCACCCAACAUCCUCCCAGACAACCUGCCUCCCAGGACUCUGGACUCUCUUUCUGCUGGUCCUGCUCUAGGCUCUGAAGUUUAUAGAGGCAAGUGGUGCGGAUCAUGGUCUCUAACUGUCCUCAGGGCUCUGUCCAGAGGUAAGCUGAUGAAUUGGCUAGCUGGGAAAAAUAACCAAAAACCCUCCACUGUGGCUGAUUGCAAGCCACCCAUGCGAUGUCACUGCAUGUAGAGUUGGGAAGAGAUUCACAGAAUCAGCUCUUGCAAGCAGGUACGAGCCAGCUCCAGCACACCACUCGCUGUGUCCCAGGACAGUCCCACUGCUGUCCACAGGGCAGGUAGGGGCUCAGGUCCCACUAGCUCACAGGGUCAGGGUGCCCUCGAGGGUUUCCUGUCCUGUCCUUGUGCCCGUUGGUAUGAAGGUGACGGUGAUUAUGAUCGUGAUUGACGUUGUGAUUGUGAUGGUUGAGGCUUCCCUUGCUACCACUGACCUCAGUCAAGGAAGUACCUCUGUCCCCCAAGGGAAACUGCCAGGAGGUGUGUACCCAGGAGUACAAUGGCCGAUUAGGUCCUCCCCAGGGCUGUAUCAUGGCUCUUUCCAGGACACUGGAAGCCUGAUGUGGCCUUAUGGACAGAUGUCCUGCCAUCUCCUACUCCCCCUUUGCAUUGAUGAACUAGCCUCAUACCUCACUGAGGAAACAGGAGCCCAAUGUGUGGGAAGCCCAGCCCUUACCUCUACUGACCCUGUACCCCUCCCUGCACUCGGCCCAUCUUCUCCUUCCCUACUCAUUCCUGAGAACGAGGCCCUCCGCUUAUCAAAGGAUGUCGCUUAGUGGCUUCCCAUUGAUGGGAAUAAAAAUCCCACUUCUUUCCCCAGCUGAUUUUAUUUUACUUUAUUUAUUUAUCGUUUUGGCCCUGCCACAUGGCAUGCGGGAUCUUAGUUCCCCUACCUGGGAUCAAACCCGUGCCCCCUGCAGUGGAAGUGCGGAGUCUCAACCACUGGACCGCCAGGUAAGUCCCUCCCCGGCUGACUUUAACCUCACCUCCUCCCACCCUGGCUUCCCAUGCUGCAGCUACUUGGGCCACCUUUCUGUUCCACAAGCACAGCAAGUUUGUUGCGGCCUCGGAGUCCACAGUCGCCCCAGAUCUCUGCACAACAGCUUCAGCUUCAGCUCAGAGUCCUUCCCUGACCUCCCCCUCUUAAGGGGCUCCCCCAGUUCCUCUCCAUCUCAUCCUCCUUGUGUUUCCUGCCCUGCAGUGUUGUCUACUUAUGUGUUACUGAUUCGACUGUCUUCCCCAUUAGAUUGUAAGCUCCACGGUACAGGGACCUCAUUCUCUGCUGUAUCUGGUACCUGGUCUGUGCCCAAUAAAAGGAUA